Molecule: ribosomal RNA, 348 nt
Filed under: ANME-2 cluster archaeon
Lineage: Archaea; Methanobacteriati; Methanobacteriota; Methanomicrobia; Methanosarcinales
Description: bacterial SSU rRNA
Rfam family: Archaeal small subunit ribosomal RNA
Source: RNAcentral
UUAAUUCUGGUUGAUCCUGCCAGAGGUUACUGCUAUCGGAGUUCGAUUAAGCCAUGCGAGUCUAAAGGUUUCUUCGGAAACCUUGGCGGACUGCUCAGUAACACGUGGAUAACCUACCCUUGGGACUGGAAUAACCCCGGGAAACUGGGGAUAAUACCGGAUAGAUCAGGGAUGCUGGAAUGCGCCUUGAUCCAAAGCUCCGGCGCCCAAGGAUGGGUCUGCGGCCUAUCAGGUAGUAGUGGGUGUAACGUACCUACUAGCCAACGACGGGUACGGGUUGUGAGAGCAAGAGCCCGGAGAUGGAUUCUGAGACACGAAUCCAGGCCCUACGGGGUGCAGCAGGCGCGA